Drosophila montana is the source of this 745-nucleotide long non-coding RNA. RefSeq lists it as uncharacterized. The record is from RefSeq and is a predicted model, not a curated record. The transcript has 2 exons. NCBI's taxonomy places the organism in Eukaryota, Metazoa, Arthropoda, Insecta, Diptera, Drosophilidae.
AGAGAGAGGAAAGUAAAUCAAGUAAACUAACAUUUGUUUUUUGUGAAAAAGGUGUUUUGUGUUUGUGUGUGUGUUUGGAAAUUCUACUCGUUUUUUGGGCGUGAUGGGCGGUGGCAAUCAGUCUAAUAAGUCUUGGCAAACACUCGCGAAACAUUGCGCUUUCCCAAAUUAUACUGCGAAAUAGAUUAAAUUAAAUUAAAGAAAAUAUUGUUGAGCAUAACGAAAAAAAAAAUCAAAAAGUAUCUUAAAAAUUACAGCACACAAAAUUUCAAUUGGGAAUUGUAGAGGGCUCAAUCCUUGUAUGCACUCCAAACCAAAUUUCAAGCACAGGCUUUGGCACACCAAUUAAAUAUGGCAUGGGGGCGCCCAGGUAAUCCUUAAACGCCCACGGCAAGAUCGGAAUAAAUAUGUGCUGCCAGACCAUGGGAUAUAGGAAUGCAUUGGCUGCCUGUAUGCAUGAGGAUAGACGAUCCAAGUGACUCGAUGUGAAUAUAAUGCGACGCUCGGCCAGCAUGGCAGCAAAUACGCAGAUCAUCUCCUUGGGAUCCACAAAGUUAUAAUACAGAUUUAGAUUGUGCUGCAAGGCAAAGAUGAAAAUAAUUGAAAAUUCAAGUAUUUGAAUGAAUGAAAAUCGUGUUGGAACUCACAUUUUCUGGUAUGCUAGGCAGCUGAAACUGCAACGGCCGCUCGAAAGUGAAAUGCUGCAGGGGAAAAUUAAUAAAUUUAUUAUUUAAUUCAUAUUUAA